Molecule: long non-coding RNA, 1429 nt
Organism: Vicia villosa (hairy vetch)
Lineage: Eukaryota; Viridiplantae; Streptophyta; Magnoliopsida; Fabales; Fabaceae
Exons: 3
Source: RefSeq, a predicted model, not a curated record
UAGAGUAGUAAAAGAUAUUUUAUUUCUAGUCGCAUGAAGCAUUGUUCAUGCUUAGAGGGAAGAGUUUGAAGUCUUUUAUGAUUUGUAGGGCCUGAAUCCUUUGAUGUUUCUCUUUGCUUUAAUUGGGAAUGCCACUUAUGUUGCAAGGUAAGCUUCUGAUUCAUAAUUCAUACUACCUUCUUUGUUUUAAGUAUUGGCACCAAACUAACUUUUGCGAAUUGAAAAUACAGCAAAGGUGUGUAUUUAUUCUUUUGUAUUUAAUGAGCAUAUACUUUAUCUUUUUAUGCGGCAUACUUGUGAGCAGCUUUAAUUGGUCAACAAUCAGACCUAAUCUACCAUGGCUGGUAGAUGCAGGAGGAUGCGUCCUUCUUGACUUUUUUUAUUUUGAUGCAGAUUUUAUAUUUCCGCUGCCGAACCUCCCCGGACCUGUAAAUAAAUAUAAAACAUACUGCUUAUUGAGGAGGAAACAAGGAUAUUCAGGUUCUGUACUCUCUCCUGUAUGUAUGUAGAUGUGCUUCUCUGGCAUGUUAUGAUGUGUUUAUCAGUGUAUUCAUACCAUGUAUUAGCGUAGAGGCUGCUAAGACUAAUUGCUCAUGAAACAGAAUAUACACAUAUUACUGUGAAUUUCUCCAUAUGGUGAAAUCAUAUUCUGAUUAAUUAUGUUUUCUUCCAUGGUUAAUUUUCAUUUCAGUUGAUCAUAUUUAUUGGUGAUUUUCUCCAAUUUCAACCAGAUCUGGAUUAUUUCAUAAAGCUGACUUACAUGAUGUAUGUUCAUAGAAAUCUUUCAAUCUCUCCACCAAGUUGGCUUGAAGCUAAAUUGGUGAAUGGUGACACAUACUUAACUGUAAGAUCAUUGGCCAGAUGGCUAGAAAAACAAGAGCAAGUGGUUAUAUGUUCAUUUGAAUCCACAAUUUUGUUUGAGGUUGAUGCUCCCAUUGCAACACAAAUACCAUCGCUACCUGCUCAAAUCCAAUUUAAAACAAGUGAUAUCAAGUUUACAUAGUCCCUCUCCUUACUCCAUCAUAGCUCCUUUAUGAUUCUAAGUUCAUUACAUCAAUAUAAUCCAAAUAAAGUCAUCUACUGAACAAAUGGAAGUUAAUAAAAAGAAGAUGGAAGAAGAGCCAUAGACGAUGAAUGGAAUUGUUGGAUAUUUAUUGUUGUUGGUGGUGAAUAUGUGGCAGUUCUUGAAUAAAGAAGGUGUUGAUGAAGAUUGUAUUUGAAAAAUUCAAAGUGUGUGAAUUUCACACUAAUCUUUAGGAGCAAUACACCCUUACCAAUUAUAGUAUAUUGAAUGCAAUUGAGAUUAACGACGAAUUCCCUUCAGAAUACUUUGAAUUUCUUAAUGUGAGUUGCACAAACACACUAAACGUAUCUUUUGAUAAUAUGUUACAGAAUAUGUUUCAUACACUUUACUCAUGCAUUAAUAAAG